RNAcentral lists this ribosomal RNA (616 nucleotides) under uncultured bacterium. RNAcentral's name for it is "bacterial SSU rRNA". The stretch from base 1 to 525 matches the Rfam family "Bacterial small subunit ribosomal RNA", at positions 338 to 873 of the family's 1533-position model. The record is from RNAcentral.
CCUACGGGAGGCAGCAGUGGGGAAUAUUGCACAAUGGGCGCAAGCCUGAUGCAGCAACGCCGCGUGAGGGACGACGGCCUUCGGGUUGUAAACCUCUUUUAGUAGGGAAGAAGCGAAAGUGACGGUACCUGCAGAAAAAGCACCGGCUAACUACGUGCCAGCAGCCGCGGUAAUACGUAGGGUGCAAGCGUUAUCCGGAAUUAUUGGGCGUAAAGAGCUCGUAGGCGGUUUGUCGCGUCUGCUGUGAAAACUGGAGGCUCAACCUCCAGCCUGCAGUGGGUACGGGCAAACUAGAGUGCGGUAGGGGAGAUUGGAAUUCCUGGUGUAGCGGUGGAAUGCGCAGAUAUCAGGAGGAACACCGAUGGCGAAGGCAGAUCUCUGGGCCGUAACUGACGCUGAGGAGCGAAAGCAUGGGGAGCGAACAGGAUUAGAUACCCUGGUAGUCCAUGCCGUAAACGUUGGGCGCUAGAUGUGGGGACCAUUCCACGGUUUCCGUGUCGCNGCUACGCAUAAGUACGCCCCGCCCGUCGGGAGGUACGGCCGCGACGGACGUAAACCUACAAAGGAAGUAGACGGCGUGAGACGUCGCCGACGGACGACGACGAGGGAGGUUAGG